RNAcentral lists this microRNA precursor (105 nucleotides) under Marmota monax (woodchuck). The record is from RNAcentral. Lineage: Eukaryota; Metazoa; Chordata; Mammalia; Rodentia; Sciuridae.
AUAGGAAUCACGUGGAGAUCUUCUUAAAAUUACAGAUUCUAAUUCUGGAGGUUUGGAGGAGGGCCCAGGAUCCUGCUACUCUAACAAGGUCCCAUGGGUGCUACU